GCGGGUGUAGUUUAAUGGUAGAAUUCCAGCUUCCCAAGCUGACGGCGGGGGUUCGAUUCCCCUCACCCGCUCCA
Molecule: transfer RNA, 74 nt
Filed under: Bacillus benzoevorans
Lineage: Bacteria; Bacillati; Bacillota; Bacilli; Caryophanales; Bacillaceae
Also listed under: 4 other names
Description: tRNA-Gly
Rfam family: tRNA
About the family: Transfer RNA (tRNA) molecules are approximately 80 nucleotides in length. Their secondary structure includes four short double-helical elements and three loops (D, anti-codon, and T loops). Further hydrogen bonds mediate the characteristic L-shaped molecular structure. tRNAs have two regions of fundamental functional importance: the anti-codon, which is responsible for specific mRNA codon recognition, and the 3' end, to which the tRNAs corresponding amino acid is attached (by aminoacyl-tRNA synthetases). tRNAs cope with the degeneracy of the genetic code in two manners: having more than one tRNA (with a specific anti-codon) for a particular amino acid; and 'wobble' base-pairing, i.e. permitting non-standard base-pairing at the 3rd anti-codon position.
Source: RNAcentral